CCCUUAGAUGUUCUGGGCCGCACGCGCGCUACACUGACGAAUGCAACGAGCUUAUAACCUUGGCCGAAAGGUCUGGGUAAUCUCCAAAUUUCGUCGUGAUGGGGAUAGAUUAUUGCAAUUAUUAAUCUUCAACGAGGAAUUCCCAGUAAGUGCAAGUCAUAAGCUUGCGCUGACUACGUCCCUGCCCUUUGUACACACCGCCCGUCGCUACUACCGAUUGAAUGAUUUAGUGAGGACUUCGGACUGGGACCGAUGCGGCUUUCGGGCUGCGUCGGUAUUCUGGAAAGAUGUCCAAACUGUAUCAUUUAGAGGAAGUAAAANUCGUANCA
This 329-nucleotide ribosomal RNA is filed under the name uncultured eukaryote. RNAcentral's name for it is "partial 18S ribosomal RNA". It matches the Rfam family "Eukaryotic small subunit ribosomal RNA", at positions 1470 to 1796 of the family's 1831-position model. The record is from RNAcentral.